RNAcentral lists this ribosomal RNA (548 nucleotides) under Septoglomus constrictum. RNAcentral describes it as "SSU rRNA". It matches the Rfam family "Eukaryotic small subunit ribosomal RNA", at positions 548 to 1098 of the family's 1831-position model. Lineage: Eukaryota; Fungi; Glomeromycota; Glomeromycetes; Glomerales; Glomeraceae. The record is from RNAcentral.
UUGGAGGGCAAGUCUGGUGCCAGCAGCCGCGGUAAUUCCAGCUCCAAUAGCGUAUAUUAAAGUUGUUGCAGUUAAAAAGCUCGUAGUUGAAUUUCGGGAUCAAGGAAUCGGUCAUGCCUUGGUAUGUACUGGUUUUAUUGGUUCUCACCUUCUAAAGAACCAUAAUGUCAUUCAUUUGAUGUUAUGGGGAAUUAGGACUGUUACCUUGAAAAAAUUAGAGUGUUUAAAGCAGGCUUACGCUUGAAUACAUUAGCAUGGAAUAAUGAAAUAGGACAUCAGAUUCUAUUUUGUUGGUUUCUAGGAUCGAUGUAAUGAUUAAUAGGGAUAGUUGGGGGCAUUAGUAUUCAAUUGUCAGAGGUGAAAUUCUUGGAUUUAUUGAAGACUAACUACUGCGAAAGCAUUUGCCAAGGAUGUUUUCAUUAAUCAAGAACGAAAGUUAGGGGAUCGAAGACGAUCAGAUACCGUCGUAGUCUUAACCAUAAACUAUGCCGACUAGGGAUCGGAUGAUGUUAAUUUUAUAAUGACUCAUUCGGCGCCUUACGGGAAAC